UCCGGUUUGUCACCGGCAGUCUCACUAGAGUGCCCGUUACCGUAGCAACUAGUGACAAGGGUUGCGCUCGUUGCGGGACUUAACCCAACAUCUCACGACACGAGCUGACGACAACCAUGCACCACCUGUCACUCUGUCCCCGAAGGGAAAGUCCUAUCUCUAGGAUUGUCAGAGGAUGUCAAGACCUGGUAAGGUUCUUCGCGUUGCUUCGAAUUAAACCACAUGCUCCACCGCUUGUGCGGGCCCCCGUCAAUUCCUUUGAGUUUCAGUCUUGCGACCGUACUCCCCAGGCGGAGUGCUUAAUGCGUUAGCUGCAGCACUGAAGGGCGGAAACCCUCCAACACUUAGCACUCAUCGUUUACGGCGUGGACUAC
RNAcentral lists this unclassified non-coding RNA (374 nucleotides) under uncultured Bacilli bacterium. Its description in RNAcentral is "contains 16S-23S intergenic spacer region". The record is from RNAcentral. Lineage: Bacteria; Bacillati; Bacillota; Bacilli.